This 816-nucleotide ribosomal RNA is filed under the name Triticum aestivum (bread wheat). RNAcentral's name for it is "partial small subunit ribosomal RNA". Lineage: Eukaryota; Viridiplantae; Streptophyta; Magnoliopsida; Poales; Poaceae. The record is from RNAcentral.
AUGGAGGGCUUUUCAAUCAAGUCGAAUACGUCUUACAGGUCGGCCUACACAGGCGUGCUGGAAAAACAGCAAUUCUGCUGUAACAAGUUCCGCAAACCAGUAGAGAGGGUUGGGAUCCCGGAUGUUGCCUCGUCAAGCAAAAACACUACACGCCCGAGUUCUCCUGAACAAGAUGUUGAAGAGGAUGUCGAGGAACACACUUUCAAGAAGAAGAGGAAGCGAGAAACCGUGAAGCAAACAAAAUGUCGUGCUAAGAUGGUGGUGAAGCUUAAACAUGACAGAUGGGAGGUUAUCACUUUUAUUGCAGAUCACAACCAUCCACUGAUUGACAAGCCAUCACUUUCAAAAUACCUCCAUUCUCACCAAGGCAUCCCGCCGGAAGAGAAAAAAAUUCUGACUCACCUAAACGACUGCAACUUGAUAGCAGGAAAGAUGAUGAUGAUAAUGUCAUCAUACUACGGCUCGGAGUUGAUUGUUUCGUACACAACUAAAGCCAUCCAUAACCACUAUUCGAAGGUCAAUGCCCCAACUAAGGACAUUGACAUUGAAGAAACACUAAACUACUUUUGCAAGGUGAUGGAAAACGACCCAGGAUUCUUCUUUAAAUGCAAGACAGAUGCGGAAGGCAGGACGGAAAAUUUGUUUUGGGUGGAUGGUGCGGCACGGAAAGCAUACGCGGAGGCUUAUCAUGAUUGCAUAUCAUUUGAUGCAACUUAUCUCACGAACAUGUACAGUAUGUCGUUUACCCCUUCAUUGGCAUCAACAGACAUGGGCAGUCAAUUAUGCUUGGGUGUGGAUUUGUCCGGCAGGAACUAG